This 180-nucleotide ribosomal RNA is filed under the name Klebsiella pneumoniae. RNAcentral's name for it is "partial 16S ribosomal RNA". It matches the Rfam family "Bacterial small subunit ribosomal RNA", at positions 1 to 176 of the family's 1533-position model. Lineage: Bacteria; Pseudomonadati; Pseudomonadota; Gammaproteobacteria; Enterobacterales; Enterobacteriaceae. The record is from RNAcentral.
AAAUUGAAGAGUUUGAUCAUGGCUCAGAUUGAACGCUGGCGGCAGGCCUAACACAUGCAAGUCGAGCGGUAGCACAGAGAGCUUGCUCUCGGGUGACGAGCGGCGGACGGGUGAGUAAUGUCUGGGAAGCUGCCUGAUGGAGGGGGAUAACUACUGGAAACGGUAGCUAAUACCGCAUAA